This 512-nucleotide unclassified non-coding RNA is filed under the name Hevea brasiliensis (rubber tree). Lineage: Eukaryota; Viridiplantae; Streptophyta; Magnoliopsida; Malpighiales; Euphorbiaceae. The record is from RNAcentral.
ACUGACAGAAAUCAAUAUACGGAAGAAAAAAUAAGAGGCUUAAAUAUAUAUUUAUAGAUGCUUAGAAACUAGCUUUCUACUAUAUCCAGUGUUAAAGUCCUCAGAUGAGGAAUAAAGGUGAAAAGCAUCAAGUUGAGAUCUUAAAUAGCUACAGUAGAAAUCCAAAAUAUCAAACCACUGUUAAGCCAAAAUAAUAAAAGCAGAACUCAAACUAUCAAACCACUAUUAGCAGCGAAAGAUAUAUUAACCGUAUUCACUGUUAAGCUAAUUAUCACAGUAUUCUAUGCCAUGCCUACCAAGUACCAAUUAAUAUCAAAUUAGGAAACAUCCCUAGACAUAACAUCAUAGAAUGAGGAACAAACAAAAUUGCAUAUGUCAAAAAUCCACUUUACACAAUUGUCACAAUAACCUAUGAGUCAUUAUUUCCUCUGGAUGUCAUCACACACCCAUACACAAGCUCUUCCCUUUUCCUUCAAGUAAAACCACUGUUUAAGAAACCACAUGCAAGAUAU